AAACAUCCAUCAAAGCUUUUGCUUUGCAUUGGACUGUCACAUUGACGUUAUGGUUCAGUUGUGCAGUUCUAAGUUCUGUUGACUGAGUUACUGGUCUUUCAACUCUUGGGAUUUUUACAUAGUCCUGGGUUGGCUGGCACAACAGUUACAGUCUGACAGAGUUGGACAGAGUAAUUCUCUCUCUCUGACCACACAACCUACUUUUU
Molecule: unclassified non-coding RNA, 206 nt
Filed under: Calocalanus sp. 2012JH169
Lineage: Eukaryota; Metazoa; Arthropoda; Copepoda; Calanoida; Calocalanidae
Description: partial ITS2
Source: RNAcentral